This 73-nucleotide transfer RNA is filed under the name Fidelibacterota bacterium. Its description in RNAcentral is "tRNA-Lys". It matches the Rfam family "tRNA". From Rfam's summary of the family: Transfer RNA (tRNA) molecules are approximately 80 nucleotides in length. Their secondary structure includes four short double-helical elements and three loops (D, anti-codon, and T loops). Further hydrogen bonds mediate the characteristic L-shaped molecular structure. tRNAs have two regions of fundamental functional importance: the anti-codon, which is responsible for specific mRNA codon recognition, and the 3' end, to which the tRNAs corresponding amino acid is attached (by aminoacyl-tRNA synthetases). tRNAs cope with the degeneracy of the genetic code in two manners: having more than one tRNA (with a specific anti-codon) for a particular amino acid; and 'wobble' base-pairing, i.e. permitting non-standard base-pairing at the 3rd anti-codon position. Lineage: Bacteria; Pseudomonadati; Fidelibacterota. The record is from RNAcentral. RNAcentral also lists the same sequence under 4 other names.
GCACCGCUGGCUCAAUUGGUAGAGCAGUUGACUCUUAAUCAAUUGGUUCCAGGUUCGAGUCCUGGGCGGUGUA